This 507-nucleotide ribosomal RNA is filed under the name uncultured bacterium. Its description in RNAcentral is "bacterial SSU rRNA". It matches the Rfam family "Bacterial small subunit ribosomal RNA", at positions 355 to 863 of the family's 1533-position model. The record is from RNAcentral.
UAAGGGAUAUUGCACAAUGGGCGCAAGCCUGAUGCAGCAACGCCGCGUGCAUGAUGAAGGCCUUCGGGUCGUAAAAUGCUUUUCUGGCUGAAGAAGGGCAGCCCUCGGGUUGCUUUGACCGUAAGCCAGGAAUAAGUGUCGGCUAACUACGUGCCAGCAGCCGCGGUAAAACGUAGGACGCAAGCGUUAUCCGGAGUUACUGGGCGUAAAGCGCGGGCAGGCGGUUCUUUAAGUCUGAUGUGAAAUCUCCCGGCUCAACCGGGAGCAGCCAUUGGAAACUAGGGAACUGGAGGGCGAGAGAGGUAGGCGGAAUUCCGGGUGGAGUGGUGAAAUGCGUAGAGAUCCGGAGGAACACCAGAGGCGAAGGCGGCCUACUGGGUCGGCACCUGACGCUGAGCCGCGAAAGCCAGGGGAGCGAACGGGAUUAGAAACCCCGGUAGUCCUGGCCGUAAACGAUGUGUGCUGGGUGGUGGGGGGUCUCCCGCACUGCCGAAGCUAACGCGAUAA